This 266-nucleotide long non-coding RNA is filed under the name Nicotiana benthamiana. RNAcentral describes it as "long non-coding RNA (NBEN_LNC038025)". The record is from RNAcentral. Lineage: Eukaryota; Viridiplantae; Streptophyta; Magnoliopsida; Solanales; Solanaceae.
AACUGAUUUUGUUUUUGGCUGAUAAGGCAACAAUCAUUUUACGUCUCCAGCCCCCAUAACCACUACCCGAGAAGGGAGUGGGAACGAGAGAUACUCCAGGGACAUCAGAAGAAUAUACAAAAAGGGGACUGGAAGAGUCUAGAGAAGGGGAGGAAACAGUACUUGUGUUAGAAGCCAUAGUCAAUGAACCGGCUUAAAUGAAUGACUUUUUCAACAAACAGAAUACAACCAAAACAGGUAUUCACACACAACAACCAACAAACAGA